This is an RNA transcript of Acinonyx jubatus (cheetah), 2433 nucleotides long. It is a transcript of the gene named synapsin-1-like, with no coding region annotated. The transcript has 4 exons. The record is from RefSeq and is a predicted model, not a curated record. NCBI's taxonomy places the organism in Eukaryota, Metazoa, Chordata, Mammalia, Carnivora, Felidae.
GUAAGGUGUGGGCAGGCAGGACCGCCUGCCAGUUUGAGGGUCUCUCUGGGGCCUUGAAGGGCUGUCGUGUCCUCGAGGUGGAGCUCCAGGUUUUCCCUGCUCAGCCUGGCGGUCUGGCUUCCCUCGUCUCGGCCCUUGUGAAGCUACACCCUGGAGACCACCCACGGCCCCGCCAAGGGCCCACCGCCCACCCCCACCUCAGGCCAGGAGACCUCUGCAGCGCAGUCCCUGCUGGCCCCGGUCCUGCCUCCUCCUGUGGCCUUUGGCCCUCCUGUUACAUCCUCGCUCAUGCGUCCUGGGUUCUGCUCAUUCAGUCUUCCAGGUCUUCAUUUGUGAGUGCUCCCCAGGGCUCCACGGUCCUGCUAUGUUUAUCGCGUCAGCCAUUGUGGGCUCUAGACUUCUAGAAACCUGCCCGCUUCACAGGUUCUGGCCUCUCUGAACUCCAGAUCUGUCCCCUCACUGCUCUGUGUGUGCUCCUGCCCUUAGCUCCUGGGGCAGAGGCUGGAGAGGUGCCCCUGCUUGGGUUCCACCCAGGCCCGAGCAGCAAGGAGGGCUGGGAGCACUCCUGUGCUUUUGGCUUCCCUGGUGGCGAAGAAGCCAGCCUCCCUCCCAAACCGCAAGGUGGCCACUCCCCAGACGCGGUACAGGGUCCCGGUGCUCACUGGCUCAGCAUGUGCUCCCGCCUCCCCCCUCCACCUGCGGUGUCACCAAACUGCUAGGCCCUCGGGUCCCUCCCCCUCCACAUCACCCACGUGAGCACCAUCCCUUCCUCCGGGGCAGUGCCUCUGGCACCCACACCUUCCUUUCGCUUGGCCCCUGCCUCCGUGGCUCAUUCCGUCAACAGGCGUGUGCCGAGUGCCGCUGGGUGAAGGCGGAGGUGGGGUUCAGGGCUGCUCUGCGGAACCAGCAGUCUGGCAGGGAGGGCGGACAGGCACCACGGGACACCGGGACACCGGGAGGACCGUUGUCCUGAAGACUUGAGCCAGCCUCCGGGGAGCAUGGGGCCGGGCAGGCAGGGAGGGCCUCCUGGAGGGGCCGAGGGGCAAGUGGUGACAGGUGAGCAGGAGGUCGUCAAGUCCAAGGUGUGAGGGAGUGGGCGGUGGUGAGGGGCCAGCUGAUGUGAGGGGAGGGAGGAAAGAGCAGGCUGGGCUGGGGACGGGGCUGUCGUCACAGGGACUCUGGGCUGGGAGGAGAUGGGGCACGGAGGCUGAAGUUGGUUACCGAGAGAGAGCCUCAUGUGCCCCAGCAGGGGGGCUGGACUUGCAGGGUGCUUAGCUGACAGCCUCAGAGAUGCCGUGUAUGGGGGGGGGGUUGGACGGCGAGCAGCACACAGCCCCUCCCAGGAGGGACAAGGACACGGCAUCCAGCUGCCUGCUUAGCCCAGUGCCCAGCCGGACGUUUCAUUGGCUCCUGCUUAGUUCUGCAAAUGAGGGAGCAGAGGCCUGGGAGCCCCUCAGGAAGAGUCUCUGCCCCUCCCCCAGACUCACCCCACCGUCCACAUGCGUGCCCCCGCUUACACAGUGGGUAGGCUAGUGGGGGCUUCCUGGGAGAAGCACGGGUGCCCCGGGGGCAGCACAGGAGAUGGGCCGCUGGGGACUGAAGAGCAGAGAGGGGGCUCAGCCCUGGAAAGUCCCUGGGAGACGGGGUGUGGGAAGGGGUGCGGGCUAUCAGGCGGGGAGAUCCUUCCUGGAGAAGGUGGCGGAAGGCUGGAGAGGCAUCUGAGGAGCUGCUGUGGACACCGGGGGAGGGGGAGAGGGAAGUGGGGGGGCCGGCCCCCGCCCCUCCCCCAGGCCCAGCCUUUGCACAAAGGCUUCUCUGUGAGUGGCCACGGAAGUGGCCUUGUCAGGAAACACCACGAUCUUGCUUAUUCUGUCUUGCAAGGUCCUUCCCAGUGUCUAACUGAGACCUGUUCUGCUGAAGUACCAGUUCUCUGACCCUGGGCUUGACAUGGCUAGUUUGAGAGGUGCUGAGGCUCCUAGGUCUCCCCCACCCCAGGAAGGAAGGGGCUGACCUCGAUUCCACACCCACUUGCUCACGCGAGCCCUCUCGCAGCCGUCUUCUCUGUCAACCUGCUGCCAGGCCUGGAGUGGUUCUGUCCCCCACUUGGCAAAGCUGCAGUCAGGGCCCCACGAAGGAUGUGUGGGUCACCCCGCGUCACGGGGCUGACCGAAAAGAAGGACUUAUUGCACCCAGCUGGCAUGGGUUCCCUCUGAGAAGCCCUCCUGGAUUGAUCGAAGUGGCAAGACCCCAGCUCCAUCCUGGGCUGCCCGUUACACUCAGAGCCACCCGGGAGAAGACUUCGUCCCACCCUUGCUCCCGUGGCCACCGCUGUCCACCCUGGUCCAUCCCAGUUCCUGUGGCGUCCGAGCUGAGAGUCCUCUGAGAUGGCGGUCCCGUCUGAGUUCUAAUAAAGACUCCUGAAUGUUGAACCAG